UUUUUUUUUUUUUUUUUUUACAGCCGCACCAGUGGCAUACGGAAGUUCCUGGGCUAGGGGUUGAAUCAGAGUUGUAUGUGUGGCCCAUACGACAGCCACAGCAAUACCGGAUCCUUAACUCACUGAGUGAGGCCAGGGAUUGAACCUGUAUCCUCAAGGACACUUAUGUCAGGUUCUUUUUUUCCCUUUUUAGGGCUGCACCUGCGGCAUAGGGAGGUUCCCAGGCUAGGGGUCGAAACAGAUGGAACCCUCACUCUCAUGGAUACUAGUUGGGUUCGUUUCCACUGUGCCAAGAAGGGAAUUCCUCUCAUCUCUUUAUGCGUGAGGUUUUGUUUUGUUUUUAUCUUCCGCACAUAAGUGGACUCACACAGCUUCCGUCUUUCUCUGUCAGACUUACUCGCCCAGCAUGAUGCCCUCAGCCUCAUCCAAGUUGUUGCCAGUGGCAGGACCUCCUCCUUCUCCUGGCUGAAUAAUGUCCCAUUGUAUAUACAGUCAGCCCUGGUUUCCUCCUUUGUGCAUACAUAGGGCCAUUUUAUAUAAGGGACUUGAGCACCCAGGGAUGUUGGUAUCCACAGGAGUCCUGGAGCCAAUCCCCUAGGGAAACAAAGGGACAAAUGUAUAUGCCAUGAUUUCUUUCUUUUUUUUCUUUUUGCUAUUUCUUGGGCCGCUCCCGUGGCAUAUGGAGGUUCCCAGGCUAGGGGUCGAAUCGGAGCUGUAGCCACCGGCCUACGCUAGAGCCACAGCAACGCGGGAUCCGAGCCGCGUCUGCAACCUACACCACAGCUCACGGCAACGCCGGAUCCUUAACCCACUGAGCAAGGGCAGGGACCGAACCCGCAACCUCAUGGUUCCUAGUCGGAUUCGUUAACCACUGCGCCACGACGGGAACUCCUGCCAUGAUUUCUUUAUUCAUCAUCUGUCCCUAAGACCCGACUAGGAAUUUUGGUCUUUAUCCUAAAAGCAAUGAGAAACCACAAAUUUUUUUUUUUUUUGUGCCGCAUCCAUGGCAUAUGGAGGUUCCCAGGCUAGGGGUCCAAUGGGAGAUAUAGCUGCCGGCCUACACCACAGCCACAGCAAUGCUGAAUCUGAGGCACAUCUGUGACCCAUGCCACAGCUCACGGCAAUGCCGGAUCCUUAAUCCACUGAGCAAGGCCAGGGAUCAAACCCGCAACCUCAUGGUCCCUAGUCAGAUUCAUUUCCUCUGUGCCACAACGGGAACUCCUAAAAUGUUUUGAACUGGGAGGUGAAUUGGUCAGAUCUGUGUUUCUAAGUUUCACUUAAAAAACAGAUCAGGAAAUGAACAAAAACAAAGGUCAUAACAAAAAGAUAUGUCUGAUGAAAUCAACAAGAGAAUAAAGAAAUAUAUACUCGGCAAGGCAAAUACUACAAGAUAUAUGAAGAUGUAAGUACAUUUGCCUCAGAAAACGAACUGUGUGGGCCUCAGAAGUUACGACAUAUGCCUGGGGAGCGAGAAUAAUCACAACAUACAAGUAUUUACUAAUGAAUUGACCAUGUAGCAAAGAAACCCUUGCAACGGUCUCUCAGGAAGUCACCCUGGACUCUGGUUUCCAUCACUGCUGCUCCAUCCCUGUCUGUCUGCCUCUCACUGUCAGUUCUUUACAAUUCCACGUACAUACAGAGUGGCUUGGUAAGUUUUGCAAAAUAUGAAAGCUUUCAUAAAGUCAGUGAAAGUGAUAUUGGAGAAACCUGCCAAGCAUCACCUGUGACAGUGAGGACCAGCCAGAGUCUGACCGGCACAGCGGUCAUUGUGGCUGAUUGGCCAACUUUUCAUACUGCAAGUGAUCAGUAACCUGUUGCUAUUACCACUUACUUAACUAAGAACGACUUAAGCAGGAUUUUAGAAUAUGAAUGCUUAAGGGGUUAAAUAUUUUUUUGAGAUUUUUCACGUUUUAAAAAUUUCGUUUUGACCCCCCCAAUUUUAAUUAAUUAAUUAUGUUUUGUCUUUUUAGGGCUGAACCCAUGGCAUAUGGAGGUUCCCAGGCUAGGGGCUGAAUAGGAGCUGCAGCUGCUGGUCUACACCACAGCCACAGCCACGUGGGAUUCGAGCCACGUCUACAGUCUACACCACGCUCAUGGAAACACUGGGUCCCUGACCCACUGAGCGAGGCCAGGGUUUGAAACCACAUUCUCAUACAUACUGGUCAGGUUUGUUAACCACUGAGCCACAAUGGGAACUCCUGGAACCAGUAUUUUAGUGGCUUUUAACUAUGGCUGUAGAAUCAAAAUGUUGGAAGAGGUUUUGAAAAGUGCCAGUGUUGGAGUUCCCUGUUAAGGACCUGAUGAUCUCUGAGAAGAUGCAGGUUCGAUUCCUGGCCUUGCUUAGUGGGUUAAGGAUCUGGCGUGGCCACAAGCUGCAGCUUAGGUCAUAGACGUGGCUGGGAUCCAGGGUCGCAGCGGCUGUGGUGCAGGCCUGCAACUGCAGCUCUGAUUCGACCCUUAACCCCAUAGGCCACAGGUGUGGACAUAAAAACACAAAUAAAAUAAAAGUGCCAAUGUCUUGUCAGCUUGGAGAGAUCAGAGUUGAAUUGUGAAUUCCAUUGAUUCGGUUGGAUGUUUGUGAUUCUACAUCACGGCCAGUGUUGAGAAAACCUACCCCAGCCCUGAGUGCUGGCUACCCCUCCGUUGCCUCCUCUCCAUCGUCCCCUGUGCUGUAUCUUUUUAAAUCUCGCCUCUGCCUCUAACUCCACAACCACAGAACAAGAUGGGGAACCCCCUGCUCUCAGCACUGCUGUGCAUCAAAAAGGAAUUUGUCCUGAGGCAUAGCUGCUACUUUGGCAUUAUUCUUCCCCGAAUUCCGCAGUGACUUCUAAAUAUAAACUUUCAAGACACCGCCGAGUGAAGUUCCUAGGCCACAGAUUUCAAGCCCCCUGCCUUCCCCAGCCCUCCUUCCACGUGGCCUCUGUUUUUACCCUCAGACAAACCGAGGCUCCCCGUCUUCGUUAUGCUCGUCCCCUCCUGCCUCCAGCCACGCUCCAUUCCAUGUUCCUUUUGUUGUAUUAGAGCUUUGCGCUCUGCUCAUCCUCCAAGCUCGAGUUGCGUUUUCCUUUGCUCUCAGAAUCUGGGUCCAGUCACUCCUUAGAUAACUGCUCCGUUCAGACAGCGCUGUCUGUAUUUACCUGGUUCUGCUCUGGGGCUUUUUCAUUGUUCAUUUGUUGUCUUUUGGCAUUUCUAUGGCAUUGUUUUGACUUCUCAAAAGUUAAGAAGUGGGUACUGUUUAUCCCUCCUCUGUCCAAUAAGUGUUCUGCAUACAGGAGGCACUCGGCCAAUGGCUCAUCGACGGCCAGGUCUCUGCCGAUCAAGUGUGACACUCCCAUCUUCCCGCCUGGGCCAAGCCCCAAACACAACUGUCUUAUCUACUACAGCUGACAGGUCUGCACAGCCAUCUGCUCAGACCCCGAGCUUGGAAUCCUUUGGGGGGGAGAUCCCUAUCUGUGGGCACAAGUCUGAGUGGGCGUAUGAGUGAGAGGACUUUCCAUGCUGAGCACGAAAGCCUUUGGUUUCCAGCCAAAGGCAAUUACAUGGACAAUCUGGACCUGUUUGUGAUUCUUGGUUUUGUGGCCUUUGUGCUUCUCUCCAAGAGCCACCCCAUUGCUAAGGGACUAGCCUCACGCCAGCCGUUUGCCUGCCAUGGCUUUUUAGUAACCCCCAGACCUUUGGCGUUGUUUGCAGUGCUGUGUGAGUAUAUGCAUUUUCUCUGCACACCGGAAGUAAGUGGCCGAUCUCUGCUCACCAUAUGUGAGAGCCACACGCUUGUUCCCGAGUCUAAAUUGUACAAUGCAGGAUGGUAUGUAUGGUGAGAUAACGUGAAUUGUUUGGUAUUUGCUUCACAUCUGUCUGUAACUCCUUGGGGGUAGAAAAGGUUAUUUUCUAGUCCUACCAAGUCUAGUACAGCUGGAGAUGGCCAGAUCGUUGUGGCUUAGCAGACGGUUUGGGCCAGAGAAGGAUGGAUGGCAUUAUCCAAGGUACAGGAGGGAAAAGCCAGUGGUUCUCAAACUUGGGUGUGCUUUAGAAGCACCUGUUAAAACACUGAUUGCCAGGCUCUACCCUCAGAGUUUGGGGUUCACAAGGUCUGGGUUUGGUUGGAAGAUUUGCAUUUCCUUUUUUUUUUUUUCUUUUUGGCUGCACCCAUGGCAUAUGGAAGUCCCCAAGCCAGAGAUUGAACCCAUGCCUCUGC
Molecule: long non-coding RNA, 4195 nt
Filed under: Sus scrofa (pig)
Lineage: Eukaryota; Metazoa; Chordata; Mammalia; Artiodactyla; Suidae
Description: lncRNA (ENSSSCG00025014112.1)
Source: RNAcentral